CCGAAUGGUGGAAGGGCACCGGUGGCGGGAGGCCUCAUUAGGGAAAGCAUGCAUUGGUUUAAGAAUGGUUUUAGUUUAUGAACGGACUUCCAGAACGGAUUAAGUUUGUAAACUGAGGUACUACUGUACCAUGUCUUCGAAGACAUGGUAUCUUGAAUGCUGUUAUGAGUUUGUUGGUGCUAGACACCCUAAAUUCCUGGGUCCAGUUGGUGUUAGAAUUUAUCAAACAACAAAGCAAUGCAGAGAGAAAAAACUCAUAAAGCACAACUCUGUAAAUGGAAAAUAAUAGUAUUUUAAAUAUAUUGUACACAAAAUAUCACAAUAUAACAUGUAUUUAUAUUCCAAUUGCUAUGAACUUAAACUACACACAUGUGCGUGUGCGCACACACAUACACACAGAGUCUCUGCAGUCUCUGGUCAAUCUUGAAGUGAUCUAUACAAUCCUACAUAUUACUAUUCAAUGUCUCCACUUCUAAAAGUUCAACUAUAUUGCACUGAAGUCCAGAGCGUCGAUUCUCUGUGUUAAAUUUUCUAGUUGAAAACUGUGUAUGAGGAGGACUUUGACAACAAGACAUCCGGGUAAAAUCUCUGUUUCGUCGCCCUUCAUCAGGUCAGUCCAAGUACAUCAAAGUCUUCCUCAUGCACAGUUUUCUAACUGGGUGUUACAAUUUAAUCAAGCCUCCUGAACCCCUGGGUCCAGCAAGGAUUAAAAUUUAAGCCAGGCCAGUCUCCUGAUGAGGUAAUCCCCUGGGAGAUGAACCAUUAAGAAAACAAAAGGAUGGUAAUGACCAUUAAGAAAGCUAUGGGGAGUGGUUAUGUGCCAAAUGGCAAGUGGGUGGGGCCCCUCCUACAGCACUUUGAAGUUAGCUUUGAAGACAAAGCAGAGUUUGAAGUAGACUUUUAGGGCUGACUGUGAUGUGAUCCAGCGGGGGAGGUUGCACUCUGUUAAAGGCAGUAAGCUGGAGAGAGGGUCAGAGCACGAUGGCUGGUUUCUGCUUGAAUCCUAAGCUGCAGCUAUGGGACAAGCAAGACCCUCUUGGAGUGCUGAUGCUGCAAACCCCUCCAUUGCAGGCUCAGGUUGUAUAUAUGUGUAAAGAAACCAUAUACAGUGGUGCCCCGCAAGACGAACGCCUCGCAAAACGAAAAACUCGCAAGACGAAAGGUUUUUUCGUUUUCGAGUUGCUUCGCAAGACGAAUGUCCCUAUGGGCUUGCUUCGCAAGACGAAAACGUCUUGCAAGUUUGUUUCCUUUAUCGUAAAACCGUUAAAACCCAGGGUGCAUUGCUUGAAGAGGUGCAGUUGCGACUUGACCUCGAGGAGCAACACAUUGCACGCGGUGUGGUGGCCUUUCUGAGCUUUUUAAAGAGUUUGCUGGAUUUUUGAAGCUUUUCCAAAACUUCUUCUACAGCUGUUUGGUAAGUUGAACUUUUAAAACUUUUUUGGGUUUUUAGGAUUUUGGGUUGGGGUGUUUAGAAUUCAAGGACUUGGUGUUGGGGAGAGGUUUGCAAGAAUCUGGGAGCUUGUGUGGUUUUUUUCUGCAUUUUUAUGAUUUUCUGUGACCAUUGGGCCAUGUUUAUUUUUUUUUAAAAAAAAUCUGGCUUUGAAUUUUUGAAUUUCUGUGUGCUGGGUGGAUGGGGAACAGCUGGGGAGGUGUUUGCAAGAAUCUGGGAGCUUGUGUGCUUUUUUUUGAAUUUUUAUGAUUUUUUGUGACCAUUGGGCCAUGUUGUUUUUUUUGAAAAAGUUUCUGGGUUUUAAAUUUCUGUGUGCUGGGUGGAUGGGGAACAGCUGGGGAGGUGUUUGCAAGAAUCUGGGAGCUUGUGUGCUUUUUUUGAAUUUUUAUGAUUUUUGUGACCAUUGGGCCUUGUUGUUUUUUUUUGAAAAAUUUUUCUGGGUUUUAAAUUUCUGUGUGCUGGGUGGAUGGGGGACCAGCUGGGGAGGUGUUUGCAAGAAUCUGGGAGCUUGUGUGCUUUUUUUUGAAUUUUUAUGAUUUUAUGUGACCAUUGGGCCAUGUUGUUUUUUUUUGAAAAAGUUUCUGGGUUUUAAAUUUCUGUGUGCUGGGUGGAUGGGGGAACAGCUGGGGAGGUGUUUGCAAGAAUCUGGGAGCUUGUGUGCUUUUUUUUGAAUUUUUAUGAUUUUUUGUGACCAUUGGGCCAUGUUGUUUUUUUUGGAAAAAAGUUUCUGGGUUUUAAAUUUCUGUGUGCUGGGUGGCUGGGGGAACAGCUGGGGAGGGGUUUGCAAGAAUCUGGGAGCUUGUGUGCUUUUUUUUGAAUUUUUAUGUUUUGUGUUGACCAUGGGGCCAGGUUGUUUUUUUUUGAAAAAGUUGCGGGGUUUUGUAUUUCUGGGUGCUGGGUGGAUGUGGGAACAGCUGGGGAGGUGUUUGCAAGAAUCUGGGAGCUUGUGUGCUUUUUUUGAAUUUUUAUGGUUUUCUGUAACCAUUGGGCCAUGUUGUUUUUUUUUGAAAAAGUUUCUGGGUUUUGAAUUUCUGUGUGCUGGGUGGCUGGGGGAACAGCUGGGGAGGGGUUUGCAAGAAUCUGGGAGCUUGUGUGCUUUUUUUUGAAUUUUUAUGGUUUUCUGUAACCAUUGGGCCAUGUUGUUUUUUUUUGAAAAAGUUUCUGGGUUUUGAAUUUCUGUGUGCUGGGUGGCUGGGGGAACAGUUGAGGAGGGGUUUGCAACAGUUGGGGAGGGGUUUGCAACAGUUGGGGAGGGGCUGGGGGAACAGUUGAGGUUUUUGAAGACUUUGGUGAUUUUUAAAGCUUUCCCAAAAUUUCUUUUGCAGCCAUUUGAGGAUUUUGAAGACUUUGGUGAUUUGCAGCCAUUUCGUAAGUUAAACUUUUAAAACUUUUUUUGGGGUUUUUGGAUUUUGGGUUGGGUGUUUGGAAUUCAAGGACUUGGUUGUGGGUUUGAAUUGCUGAUUUUUUUUUUCUUUUUCUGAGUUUUACAAAGGUAACAGCUGUGCUGCCAUGGGACCCAAGAAGACUGCUGCUGCUGCGGAGGCCGGCGAGAGGAAGAAGGAGAAGGUGACGCUGGAGAUGAAGAAGGAGAUCAUCCGGAAGCACGACGCUGGAAUGCGUG
This 3071-nucleotide long non-coding RNA is filed under the name Podarcis lilfordi (Lilford's wall lizard). Lineage: Eukaryota; Metazoa; Chordata; Lepidosauria; Squamata; Lacertidae. The record is from RNAcentral.